This 1830-nucleotide ribosomal RNA is filed under the name Paronogastris squamigera. Its description in RNAcentral is "SSU rRNA". It matches the Rfam family "Eukaryotic small subunit ribosomal RNA". The record is from RNAcentral. Lineage: Eukaryota; Metazoa; Arthropoda; Insecta; Phasmatodea; Bacillidae.
UGCGCUUGUGAAUCGCGAAACCGCGAAUGGCUCAUUAUAUCAGUUGUGAUUGUGAAGGUAUGCCAAGGAUGGAUAUCUCUGGAAAAGCUAGAGCUAAUACAUGCAGUGCCAGUCCCGCCCAGCGAUGGAACGGACGCAGUUAUGACGAAAGAAACCAAACGGCUCGGGGCUCGCCCCGGUCGGUUUGCAGUGGUGAACCGAAGUAAGUGCGAUAUCGCACGGUCUCGUACCGGCGAUGAACCUUGCCAAAGCCUGCCUCAUCAAACUUGAUGGCAUGGUCUGUGCCGGCCAUUGUCGCCACGGGUGACGGGGAAUCAGGGUUCGAUUCCGGAGAGGGAGCCUGAGAAACGGCUACCACAUCUAAGGGAGGCAGCAGGCACGCAACUUACCCACUCCCGGCACGGGGAGGUAGUGACAAUAAAUGAUGAUGCGGGACUCACUCGAGGCCCCGUAGUUGGAUUGAGCCGACUAUAAACACUUUGACGAGCAGCAAUUGGAGGGCAAGUCUGGUGCCAGCAGCCGCGGUAAUUCCAGCUCCAAUAGCAUAUAUUAAAGCUGCUGCGGUUAAAAAGCUCGUGAUUGGACUUGGGUCCCACGUUGUCGGUUCACCGCCCCGCGGUGUCAACUGACAUCUUACGUGCGGACGUCCGCCGGUGGAUGCGGUCGGCCGGCCAAACCUGUAUCAGGUCGCCGCGUGUCGACGGUCCUGUGAAAACCUGCCGAGGUGCUCUUUAACAGAGUGUCGAGGAGGGCCGGCAUGUUUACUUUGAACAAAUUAGAGUGAUCAAAGCAGGCAGUGUGAAUGCCUACAUAUUCUGUGCAUAGAAUAAUGGAAUAGGACCUCGGUUCUAUGUCGUUGGUUUGCUGAGUCUGAGGAAAUGAUUAAGAGGAACUGCCGGGGGCAGACGUAUUGUGACGUUAGAGGUGAAAUUCUUGGAUCGUUGCAAGACGGCCUAAAGCGAAAGCAUUUGCCAAGAAUGUUUUCAUUAAUCAAGAACGAAAGUCAGAGGUUCGAAGGCGAUCAGAUACCGCCCUAGUUCUGACCGUAAACUAUGCUGAUUAGCUGUCCGCCCCGAGGUCUUUCUCUGAAAGUACUCGGUGGGCUGCCCCCCGGGAAACCGAAAUGUUUCAGUUCCGGGGGGAGUAUGGUUGCAAAGCUGAAACUUAAAGGAAUUGACGGAAGGGCACCACCAGGAGUGGAGCCUGCGGCUUAAUUUGACUCAACACGGGAAACCUCACCAGGCCCGGACAUUGGAAAGAUUGACAGAUUGAAAGCUCUUUCUUGAUUCAGUGGGUGGUGGUGCAUGGCCGUUCUUAGUUGGUGGAGUGAUUUGUCUGGUUAAUUCCGGUAACGAACGAGACUCUGGCCUGCUAAAUAGUCGCAAAGAGCGGUAUCCGAUUGCUACCGGCGCCAAUCUUCUUAGAGGGACCGGCGGUUGCCAGCCGUACGAGAAAGAGCAAUAACAGGUCUGUGAUGCCCUUAGAUGUUCUGGGCUGCACGCGCGCCACAAUGAAGGAAUCAACGUGCUCCUUGCCCGAGAGGGCGUGGUAAUCCGUUGAAUUUCCUUCGUGGGUGUGGAUUGUGGUUUGAAAUUGUACCGCAUGAAAGAGGAAUUCCCAGUAAGCGUGGGUCAAGAGCCCGCGCUGACUAAGUCCCUGCCCUUUGUACACACCGCCCGUCGCUACUACCAAUUGGAUGGUUUGGCAAGGUUUUCGGACCGGCGCAAGACGGACCCGCCAGGGACCCGAGAUGCUGCUGGGAAGUUGAUCGAGCUUGAUCAUUUAGAGGAAGUAAAAGUCGUAACAAGGUUUCCGUAGGUGAACCUGCGG